RNAcentral lists this long non-coding RNA (579 nucleotides) under Malus domestica (apple). RNAcentral describes it as "long non-coding RNA (MDOM_LNC018276)". Lineage: Eukaryota; Viridiplantae; Streptophyta; Magnoliopsida; Rosales; Rosaceae. The record is from RNAcentral.
UCUCCAAUUGGGUUAAAGUUGAGAGACCAUUUUUAGAGUAUUUAUCAAAUAUAGCCAAAUAUUAGCUCUUAAUUUCAAAAAUGUUAGUUUUUAUACAAACUUUCAAAUAUAUUCAAAAUAUAACUUAAAUAUACACAAAUGCCCUUAAACUUUAAAACCAAAUAAAUUAAAAGAAAACCAAUACCCUAUUAGAUUGAUAUUUUGGAAGGCAAAACCUAAAAAAUGGUGAAGAGAUAGUGAAGGCAUCGGCUACAGUGGAGACUUUGUGCAACCCUAAACAUAUGAAGUUGAGUGUAGAUGGUUAAUUUUUUUCAUUCUUCCUAGUCUACAUUUUCUCUUUGCCUUUGUAAUUUCUUCCUUUGGUUGAAUUUUAUUGAAGAACAAACUGUCAAUUUUUGUAAAGACUACGGAAUAGAAAUUCUUUAGCGCAUAUUAGAACAAUUAGGUUUCUUAUGUCAAUGGAAGAUUGACAACUCUAAUAGCAUUUGCCAAUCAGUUAGAGACGAAGCUAAUAGUUCUUCAAUACAUAUUUGAAAAAGUAGGGUUUACGGAAUAAAGUUUUUCUUUCUGUGUUUUAUU